Pseudomonas sp. VI4.1 is the source of this 134-nucleotide non-coding RNA. NCBI's taxonomy places the organism in Bacteria, Pseudomonadati, Pseudomonadota, Gammaproteobacteria, Pseudomonadales, Pseudomonadaceae. The record is from Rfam.
AGACCGUGCAAGCGCUGUCAUUGACAGCAACCCAGGUAGCCAGAACCUUUAAGGCUACGCCACUGCGUGGUGGUUCUCCCCCAAGUGCGAUUAGCGUCCGGCGGCUCGCACAGUCACAGCAAUGUGAUGGAUGC